Molecule: small nucleolar RNA, 91 nt
Filed under: Bombyx mori (domestic silkworm)
Lineage: Eukaryota; Metazoa; Arthropoda; Insecta; Lepidoptera; Bombycidae
Description: Bm_68
Source: RNAcentral
AGUCUAUGGGUUNGUAACGGUAACCACUUAACNGAUUAGGAUUUUUGUAAAGCCGGCCAUUCACUGUAGACAAGUGACAUANGUGGUCUUU